Molecule: RNA transcript, 2574 nt
Organism: Drosophila nasuta
Lineage: Eukaryota; Metazoa; Arthropoda; Insecta; Diptera; Drosophilidae
Gene: Teh3
Gene name: tipE homolog 3 phospholipid transfer protein
Exons: 2
Source: RefSeq, a predicted model, not a curated record
ACUGCAAGCUUAAUCAAUGGAUUCCUGCUCGGCAAUCACGAAGUUGGAACUGUGGCAGCAAACAGCAAAAACGUGAAUGCGCAACUAUUGAUUUUGUAAUAAAAAUGCGCGCGCAGCGCUCUGAUUUUUGCACAAAAACCGGAGAGCAAGCAGCAGCAGCACAUGAGCUAAGAGCUGAUGAUGUGGUGGACGACAAUGUGGCGGCAUGUUGUCGGCGGUCAGGAUGGAGCCGAGAGGCCGAUGCCGAGAGCUCACACACGACAACCGAGAACGAGUAGCUGCUGCUUGGCUGAGUGCUGAGUGCAGCAAUUCACAUAUUCCACACUCGCAGUGCGAAAACUGUGUGCGAAGCCAGAGCAAAGGCCAGCGCCAGUUGCCAGUUGCCAGGAGAAGCCUUGGGCUCUAGAGUGUGUUGUGUGUGUCGUGUGCCUCGGCAAGCAGCAGUAGAAAGCGACAAACUAAACUCGCAGCAAAUAGAAAAAGCAAUAAUUCCAUAUAGUUUUAGAAAAAUAAAUAUAUAUAUAGUUAAUUGUAACUGUUACGACUUAACAUAAGAAUUAUAAAAAGCUUGUGAAGCCCACAUUGCAACCAGAUUGUGUUGCAAGUAGUGUGUACGAUUGUAGUCAUUGUGUAUGUGAGUGUGUGUGUGACACGGGUUAAAGCUAAAAAUCAAUAGCACACAAAAAAAAAAAGAAGUGCUAAUAGCCAAAGCCAAGUUGGAGGGCAAGUUGCAAAAACGUGCGCACAGCUUGUGAAACAUUUGAAAUUACCCAAAAGAAAAGCGAGCGAAAUCUCGCGAUACGCAAAGUUAUAUAACGUUUCCUCCGCCUGAGGCGACAGUUUUGCGUGGGCAGCGCGAGCACGAGAAGGAAUAGGCGAAAGGAGGAGGAGGAAGAGGAGGAGCGAGCUGAGGGAGUGACACCCCGUCAAUCGAUAGACUAAACAUGAUGUGCAUCUAAUUGGAUUACACGCGACGGAUUAGCAUAGCCCCAAAAAGGCAAAGUAAUACAACAACAACAACAACACAGUCAGGCAGUCAGUCGUCAGUAGCUCAGUCAGUCAUCGAUUUCGCCACACAACAUGGGGAAGAAGAAGGUGCCUAGUGAGGAGCUAAUUGUACCGCCGCAGGACAAUCGCAUCUGCGGCACCAUCUGCAUCUGUCAGAUGACGUUAGUGCUCAGCUCGGUGGCUCUCGUCUAUCUCACCGUUGCCAUCUACAUGCCUUCCACCAGGGCUUUCAAGAGUGGCAUUGAUCCCACGCCCGUGAUGUGCACGACGACGCGUGCCGUCAACAAGGACAACUGCGAGUGGGGCAGCUGUGGGGAAUGGUGUCUGAGCAAAACUUCCGGUGCCUGCAUUCAGAUCUAUGUGAAUCUGCGCAGCAAUGGCACAAAUCUCACCUUCCAGAAUUGCACGAACUCGGCGAAUAAAACGUGCUACGGCAUCGAUCAGGAUCGUGCGGACAAGGCACGUUGCAUCAACGAUGAGUGCAAGAAUCUCACCGGCACAUUCAACUGCACGGCCGGGCAGUGUUUGAACAUUACGGACGCCUUUGAAUGCGUCUUCCACAACAGCGAUGCGCCGGUGAAGUGUUCGGGACGUCGCGGCAAAAUCAAUUGCAUGGACAUUAGCGGUUUGUUCUCGUGCAGUCGUGGAACUUGUCGCAAGAUCCGCACACCCUACAACUGCGACAGACGUUGCGUCGAUAUUCCGACCCGGAACAAGAAUGUUGUGGUCCUCAGCGGUGAUAAGGUCUAUCUGUCGCAGUGCCAGAAUGCAAUUAAUGCCGAGACCCUGGAGGAAGUGUGGAACGAGUCCAGUGACAAUGUAGCUAUGACGUCGUGCUAUUUCAUCAAGAAUACCUCGGAUCGCGUGGACGCUGUCGAUUGCAUCAAUGGCUCCACGCUCGAACACAAUAUGCUCAGCGAUCUCACCAACUUUACAUAUCUCAGUCAUCUUCAUGUAUCCGUGGCAACUCCAGUCCCUGAGAUUGCUCCUCCGGAUGUGGAUUUAACCAUUUCGAAUGAGUCGAAGUUGAUGAUCAAUUUGGAGGGUUGUGUCAAUACGCUGAUGGAUGAGUGCAAGGAGUUCCUGAAGGAUUUCGGACGCGAUGGCAGCGAUCACAAUGCCCGUGCCCGUUUCCCCUGCUUCUAUUCGCCGUCCAAGAAGGAUGUGGUCGUGGCUCGCUUCGAUCUGGAGGUCACCUAUCGCCAGUUUGUGUUUGCGUCGGUGGUGCCGUCGGUGCUGUUCGUGGUCUCCUGCUCCGUGCUGUUGCUCUGCCAGCGCACCGUCUAUGUGGGCGAUGAUGCCAAGAUGCGUUUCAAGGGUUGCGUCGACACGGAGACCAUACUGAAUAAGAACAACGUCGGCGCGCCCACCAACGGCGACAUGGGCGGCGGCGGUGGCGAUGAAGUCAUGGCCCUAUGAGAUCCGUCACGUAAGAAUACCCAAAAAGCAUGUCUACUUAAUGUGUGGUCCAACUUUCAGCGGGCAUUCCUCUGCUCCAGGAAGACAGUCCGGUGCAUCAAACGGGCGUCUUCGCUUUGCAGUAAUGGAGUUGGGCACAGCAACCAC